Molecule: ribosomal RNA, 411 nt
Filed under: uncultured bacterium
Lineage: Bacteria
Description: bacterial SSU rRNA
Rfam family: Bacterial small subunit ribosomal RNA
Source: RNAcentral
GAAGUUGAGGAAAGUGGCGAACGGGUGAGUAACGCGUGAGAAAACCUGCCUUUCAGUGGGGGACAACAGUUGGAAACGACUGCUAAUACCGCAUGAUGUAUUCGGGGGGCAUCCCCUGAAUGUCAAAGAUUUAUUGCCUGAAGGAUGGGCUCAUGUCUGAUUAGCUAGUUGGUAGGGUAACGGCCUACCAAGGCGACGAUCAGUAGCCGGUCUGAGAGGAUGAACGGCCACAUUGGGACUGAGAUACGGCCCAGACUCCUACGGGAGGCAGCAGUGGGGAAUAUUGGGCAAUGGGCGAAAGCCUGACCCAGCAAUGCCGCGUGAAGGAAGAAGGCCUUCGGGUUGUAAACUUCUUUUACCGAGGACGAAUAAAUGACGGUACUCGGCGAAUAAGCUCCGGCUAACUACGUG